CAGCCGCCGCGGUAAUACGAAGGGUGCAAGCGUUACUCGGAAUUACUGGGCGUAAAGCGUGCGUAGGUGGUGGUUUAAGUCCGUUGUGAAAGUCCUGGGCUCAACCUGGGAAUUGCAGUGGAUACUGGGUCACUAGAGUGUGGUAGAGGAUAGUGGAAUUUCCGGUGUAGCAGUGAAAUGCGUAGAGAUCUGGAGGAAUACCGGUGGCGAAGGCGGCUAUCUGGGCCAACACUGACACUGAGGCACGAAAGCGUGGGGAGCAAACAGGAUUAGAUACCCCAGUAGUCCCUGUCUCUUAUAC
RNAcentral lists this ribosomal RNA (301 nucleotides) under uncultured bacterium. Its description in RNAcentral is "partial 16S ribosomal RNA". It matches the Rfam family "Bacterial small subunit ribosomal RNA", at positions 509 to 807 of the family's 1533-position model. The record is from RNAcentral.